CGAAAAGUUUGGUUAGUUCAUGGUUCAGCUGAGUUCGUCGCCAUUUUGGCUAUUUGUUAAAAUUCGUCGACAAACCGACGAAGUCCUCGACCAUUUUGAGUUCAGCUUCGUUCAGGUUCGUUCGAAAAAGUCGAGUGGUUCGAUAUGUUUUUCAAAAACUUUUCAUCGUUAGUAAUAACGAUGGCAAAAAGAAUUGAUCCACCUUGAAAGAGUGAAAAGUCGUACGAUGUGAUUCAUUAUUUAAAUCAUUUUUAGGAAAUGAUCAGUCCACAUUUUUCGCAAGAGAAAUAUUAAAAGGAACCACGUGACAAUUGUAGCAAAAGUAAAUUUGUGGUGACGAGACGAUUCAACAAUGCUUCCACUUCAAUUCGCUGGAGGGAGUAAUAGUACAAACAACGACUAAAAUUUAUAGAUGAAUAUUCGUGCGUGUCCUGUAUUCUUUUAUAUGGUGAAAUAAAAUUAUUAAAAAUAAACAUUUAAAAUAUAUUUACCA
Molecule: long non-coding RNA, 493 nt
Organism: Hylaeus volcanicus
Lineage: Eukaryota; Metazoa; Arthropoda; Insecta; Hymenoptera; Colletidae
Exons: 3
Source: RefSeq, a predicted model, not a curated record